AUGCACAGCCAUACAAAAAUGGACCAAUCAGGUGGGAGAACCUUCAAUAAUUGCAGUCCUCGAGGGUACUACAUAUGUUGUCAGGGAAUUGUUCUGAAGUUGGAUUGGUGGUCAUGCGGAGUGAAAAAUCUCAUCCUUCAGUUUAUUGGAUUGGAUAUGCUGAUACGUGCAACUGUGGAAGGUUGUACCCCUCUUGUACUCAUUUCAUUCCCUUCUAUCAAUGAAAGGUUUUGCUGCUUGGCUUGGGUACUACAACGAGAUAUUGCCCGGCAAGCUUACGGACACAAAAAAGGCUGUGAAAGACAAAGCACAAGGUGUCUUCAUGUCACAAAUUGCUUCUGCAUGUACUGGUUGAUUUUAGUAAGAUCACUCCAAUUUUCUUGCAAUGAUUCUGACUCUGCCUGCUUUCCCUGCAGGGUUAAAGUUUAUUUGUCUUAUCAAUCCCUGCAAUUUGGAUGA
This 459-nucleotide ribosomal RNA is filed under the name Triticum aestivum (bread wheat). RNAcentral's name for it is "partial small subunit ribosomal RNA". The record is from RNAcentral. Lineage: Eukaryota; Viridiplantae; Streptophyta; Magnoliopsida; Poales; Poaceae.